RNAcentral lists this ribosomal RNA (381 nucleotides) under Triticum aestivum (bread wheat). RNAcentral's name for it is "partial small subunit ribosomal RNA". The record is from RNAcentral. Lineage: Eukaryota; Viridiplantae; Streptophyta; Magnoliopsida; Poales; Poaceae.
AUGUCGGUUAUAGGUUUUAAUAAAAUUAUAUUUCCAGUACAAUCAUGUUUGGAGGUAUGCAAUGUUGGAAAACCUUGUAGCUGUCAGAUUCGUUAUGUUUCCUCGACAGGGUUAGGCACAUACAUGUUCCAGCUCUUUCUGCCAAAAUUAUUCCUACAUUGUUGGUCUGCAAAUAGCUUGCAGUGUAAUGGUAACUGGAUAUGGUCAGUUAUUCUGUCACCACAUGCAUCCAGCUUCCUGGGAAAUGUUGUGUUGCAUUUGCGGCUGCAAGCUGGUAUCUUGGUAAGAAGGGUCGACGUACUGUGGUGGCUGGGUUAUUCAACAUAUGAACUUGUUGGCCAUUGUCAUAGUUUUGGCUGGGUUUUUGCAGUUUAUGUUUAG